AAAUUGGUGGAUUUCAAGUAAUCAAGCAAUCAAAGGUGGUGAAUCCUCCAAUAAAGGCAAAAAAAUUGUACCCGAGGAUCAACAGUCGGAGUACUUUAAAACUUCGACUCUCGAAAUAAUCAAGAGGCGGCCGGUAACUAGAUCAAGGUGCCCUUGUAGAUUCGUUUCCUUAGUAGGUAUCUCGGCAUUCAAUAGCCGUACAUCACUCGGGUCUUUUCGCUGGAAAUCGAGUCUUCUUUUUUAGAUGUAUAGACAAACUUGAUGUAAAUUAUUAAGAUACAUGUU
This is a non-coding RNA of Theobroma cacao (cacao), 285 nucleotides long. The record is from RefSeq and is a predicted model, not a curated record. Lineage: Eukaryota; Viridiplantae; Streptophyta; Magnoliopsida; Malvales; Malvaceae.